CCUACGGGUGGCAGCAGUGAGGAAUAUUGGUCAAUGGACGGAAGUCUGAACCAGCCAUGCCGCGUGCAGGAAGACGGCUCUAUGAGUUGUAAACUGCUUUUGUACAAGGGUAAACCUGAAUACGUGUAUUCAGCUGAAAGUACUGUACGAAUAAGGAUCGGCUAACUCCGUGCCAGCAGCCGCGGUAAUACGGAGGAUCCAAGCGUUAUCCGGAUUUAUUGGGUUUAACGGGUGCGUAGGCGGUUGGAUAAGUUAGAGGUGAAAUCUCCGAGCUUAACUCGGGAACUGCCUCUAACACUGUUGAUCUAGAGAUUAGAUGCGGUAGGCGGAAUGUAUGGUGUAGCGGUGAAAUGCUUAGAGAUCAUACAGAACACCGAUUGCGAAGGCAGCCUGCCAAGCCAUGACUGACGCUGAUGCACGAAAGCGUGGGGAGCAAACAGGAUUAGAUACCCCAGUAGUC
This 460-nucleotide ribosomal RNA is filed under the name uncultured bacterium. RNAcentral's name for it is "partial 16S ribosomal RNA". It matches the Rfam family "Bacterial small subunit ribosomal RNA", at positions 338 to 795 of the family's 1533-position model. The record is from RNAcentral.